Molecule: long non-coding RNA, 763 nt
Organism: Vigna unguiculata (cowpea)
Lineage: Eukaryota; Viridiplantae; Streptophyta; Magnoliopsida; Fabales; Fabaceae
Source: RefSeq, a predicted model, not a curated record
AUACUUAAUUACUGAAUACCAGUUUCAGUUUUUCUUGAUACCUCUCUCCCGCUCAUUUAUCUUCAUCACUAGCUCUGCAUUUUCUCUCUCUUUGCCUUCCAUCACCCUCGCCAUUUCCCUUCCCAAGGUCUUGCGUGAUCCAAGCUUUAAUUUAAAUCAUUUUGGGUGACACGCACGGUCAGAAAUAUUUUGUGAAGAUGAAUAGAAAAUUUGGUGGUGGAAGACAACCAACAGGGACUCCUUCACUGGCUUUGUCCUGUGUGGUUGUUGUCUUCUCUCUGCUUGCUGGUGCUUCUGUUGUUCACAAUAUCUAUAAGCCUAAUCUUACAUUACCUCCGGUUGAUGGGACCAAGCAGAAAUCUGAUGGGAAAGAAUGAUCAUCUCCCCUGUAAAUUUCUUAUGAUAUAGUGAGAUACCAGGCUUUGGGGCUUAAGGUACAGUAACCACUGCAUUCUUCACACAGGCUUUUCUAAAUAUGUCUCUGCAAUGUUCAACAUAUUUGAGAGGACCAUGAAUAUACUUCCUCAGCACAAAAUGUUCUUCUCCCGACCCUUCCUUCGACUUUUGUACGUAACAGAAAUAAUGGAUUUGUCAUUAAAAUCAGCAAACAACCUUAAAUGGCGACACCAUUUGGCCAUCUGAUUUGAAGCAGCAGCAUCUUCAUGGAUUGGAUUUUACUUUAUUGUCUAUGGUUUUAUUGCGUGUAUUUGGGAUAGAAGUUUUGUACAAAUGUAUUUAUGUAUUAUUAAGUAUUUUGAUUUAA